Momordica charantia (bitter melon) is the source of this 1074-nucleotide long non-coding RNA. RefSeq lists it as uncharacterized. NCBI's taxonomy places the organism in Eukaryota, Viridiplantae, Streptophyta, Magnoliopsida, Cucurbitales, Cucurbitaceae. The record is from RefSeq and is a predicted model, not a curated record.
CCCGCGACCACUCCUCUCUCUCACUUGACUCACAACCUCCACGACCUAAGGCAAACGGCGGCAUUUCUUGCAGCUUUCAGAGCGGCAAUCGAAGGCCACUCUGGCGGUGCGAAUGAAAUCACGAUCGGUAGCUAUCCGGCGGUGCGAACAGUACUUCAGUAGUUUCUGGCGAGUAGAUUCCAGAUCGAAACAGCGACGAACAGCGAUACGAACGAGGCUUGAUUCUUCAGCAGGUUCGGAUGACAUGCGAGGAGAUUCCAGAUCUGAACGGCGGCGAGAGGAGAGAACUACCCAGAUUUGAACGACCGUGAAAGUCGAUUCUUCAGUAGCUUCCGACGACGGGUGAGAACAACCAAGAUCUGAACGGUGGCGACCCUACGAUGUAAAGUUGAGGCAAGCUCCAGCAACUAGAUUUGAUUCUUACACAAAGCACUGCUUCCUGAUUUCGUCGACGACGAGCAAAUCUGUUGCUUCUUUGGCUUAGUGCACAAGUGGAAAUUUGUUGAUAUCUGGAUAUGAGGAUGGAGCAACCAGAGUUUGGGAUACCAGGACCAAUAAUAUCAUUUGUGUUCUUAAACAUCCAAAAGAUAAAUUCUACUUUUCCUUAAGAAAGCAUCAUUCACUAUUAUCUCCGCCCUUGCAAAAUUUGAAAAUUCAAAGGACGGGGAUGAAGACACCAGUCAUUGGUUUAUCAGGAGAAUUUAUGGAUUCUUCCCCCCUUACUUUUCACGUAAUGGAGAACUAAAUUGCAGAGCUUCAGAUUCAUGCAGCUGGAAUUGUCGAGUAUGGUGAAAUCAACCAUGAAGCUGUUGCAAAGGUUGUAGAGGUAACCUUGCGGUUCUUUUUUCGGUUUGAUUUCUUAAAGUAGCUUUGUCCAUAAUCUUUAGUGCUUGAUUAUCUCCUUUAUGUAGGGAUUUAAUGCAAGCAGGUAAUAGAUUUAGAGCAAUGGAAGUGGGUGAUAGAUUUAGAGCCAUGUAAGCUUCAUGUCCUUAGUUCUGGUUGGUAUUUUGUUCAAGUGAUGUAUACUUUCAUUAACUAAAAAGCAUGUGUUACAUAUAUAUUACUACAUUUUGU